UACGAAGGGUGCAAGCGUUGUUCGGAAUUACUGGGCGUAAAGGGUUCGUAGGCGGGAAGACAAGUCAAGUGUGAAAUCCCCAGGCUCAACCUGGGACGUGCAUUUGAGACUGUUUUUCUUGAGUUUUAGAGAGGGUGGUGGAAUUGCUGGUGUAGGAGUGACAUCCGUAGAGAUCAGCAGGAACACCGGAGGCGAAGGCGACCACCUGGCUAAAUACUGACGCUGAGGAACGAAAGCGUGGGGAGCAAACAGG
This 253-nucleotide ribosomal RNA is filed under the name uncultured bacterium. RNAcentral's name for it is "partial 16S ribosomal RNA". It matches the Rfam family "Bacterial small subunit ribosomal RNA", at positions 524 to 776 of the family's 1533-position model. The record is from RNAcentral.